RNAcentral lists this ribosomal RNA (492 nucleotides) under uncultured bacterium. RNAcentral describes it as "partial 16S ribosomal RNA". It matches the Rfam family "Bacterial small subunit ribosomal RNA", at positions 29 to 507 of the family's 1533-position model. The record is from RNAcentral.
AGUGAACGCUGGCGGUAGGCCUAACACAUGCAAGUCGAACGGCAGCACAGUAAGAGCUUGCUCUUACGGGUGGCGAGUGGCGGACGGGUGAGGAAUACAUCGGAAUCUACUUUUUCGUGGGGGAUAACGUAGGGAAACUUACGCUAAUACCGCAUACGACCUACGGGUGAAAGCAGGGGAUCUUCGGACCUUGCGCGAUUGAACGAGCCGAUGUCGGAUUAGCUAGUUGGCGGGGUAAAGGCCCACCAAGGCGACGAUCCGUAGCUGGUCUGAGAGGAUGAUCCGCCACACUGGAACUGAGAAACGGUCCAGACUCCUACGGGAGGCAGCAGUGGGGAAUAUUGGACAAUGGGCGCAAGCCUGAUCCCGCCAUACCGCGUGGGUGAAGAAGGCCUUCGGGUUGUAAAGCCCUUUUGUUGGGAAAGAAAAGCAGCAGGUUAAUACCCCGCUGUUCUGACGGUACCCAAAGAAUAAGCACCGGCUAACUUCGUG